This 1089-nucleotide ribosomal RNA is filed under the name Ophiocordyceps myrmicarum. RNAcentral's name for it is "SSU rRNA". It matches the Rfam family "Eukaryotic small subunit ribosomal RNA", at positions 77 to 1179 of the family's 1831-position model. The record is from RNAcentral. Lineage: Eukaryota; Fungi; Ascomycota; Sordariomycetes; Hypocreales; Ophiocordycipitaceae.
UACGGCGAACUGCGAAUGGCUCAUUAUAUAAGUUAUCGUUUAUUUGAUAGUACCUUACUACUUGGAUAACCGUGGUAAUUCUAGAGCUAAUACAUGCUGAAAAUCCCGACUUACGGAGGGAUGUAUUUAUUAGAUUAAAAACCAAUGCCCUCUGGGCUCUCUGGUGAUUCAUGAUAACUUCUCGAAUCGCACGGCCUUGCGCCGGCGAUGGUUCAUUCAAAUUUCUUCCCUAUCAACUUUCGAUGUUUGGGUAGUGGCCAAACAUGGUUGCAACGGGUAACGGAGGGUUAGGGCUCGACCCCGGAGAAGGAGCCUGAGAAACGGCUACUACAUCCAAGGAAGGCAGCAGGCGCGCAAAUUACCCAAUCCCGACACGGGGAGGUAGUGACAAUAAAUACUGAUACAGGGCUCUUUUGGGUCUUGUAAUUGGAAUGAGUACAAUUUAAAUCCCUUAACGAGGAACAAUUGGAGGGCAAGUCUGGUGCCAGCAGCCGCGGUAAUUCCAGCUCCAAUAGCGUAUAUUAAAGUUGUUGUGGUUAAAAAGCUCGUAGUUGAACCUUGGGCCUGGCUGGCCGGUCCGCCUCACCGCGUGCACUGGUCCGGCCGGGCCUUUCCCUCUGCGGAACCCCAUGCCCUUCACUGGGCGUGGCGGGGAAACAGGACUUUUACUUUGAAAAAAUUAGAGUGCUCCAGGCAGGCCUAUGCUCGAAUACAUUAGCAUGGAAUAAUGAAAUAGGACGUGCGGUUCUAUUUUGUUGGUUUCUAGGACCGCCGUAAUGAUUAAUAGGGACAGUCGGGGGCAUCAGUAUUCAAUUGUCAGAGGUGAAAUUCUUGGAUUUAUUGAAGACUAACUACUGCGAAAGCAUUUGCCAAGGAUGUUUUCAUUAAUCAGAACGAAAGUUAGGGGAUCGAAGACGAUCAGAUACCGUCGUAGUCUUAACCAUAAACUAUGCCGACUAGGGAUCGGACGAUGUUAUUAUUUGACUCGUUCGGCACCUUACGAGAAUCAAAGUGCUUGGGCUCCAAGGGGGAGUAUGGUCGCAAGGCUGAAACUUAAAGAAAUUGACGGAAGGGCACCACCAGGGGUGA